GACGAACGCUGGCGGCGCGCCUAACACAUGCAAGUCGAACGGAGCUGAGAGAAGCUUGCUUUUCUUAGCUUAGUGGCGAACGGGUGAGUAACGCGUGAGUAACCUGCCCUGGAGUGGGGGACAACAGUUGGAAACGACUGCUAAUACCGCAUAAGCCCACGGCCCGGCAUCGGGCUGAGGGAAAAGGAUUUAUUCGCUUCAGGAUGGACUCGCGUCCAAUUAGCUAGUUGGUGAGGUAACGGCCCACCAAGGCGACGAUUGGUAGCCGGACUGAGAGGUUGAACGGCCACAUUGGGACUGAGACACGGCCCAGACUCCUACGGGAAGCAGCAGUGGGGGAUAUUGCACAAUGGGGGAAACCCUGAUGCAGCGACGCCGCGUGGAGGAAGAAGGUUUUCGGAUUGUAAACUCCUGUCGUUAGGGACGAUAAUGACGGUACCUAACAAGAAAGCACCGGCUAACCACGUG
This 468-nucleotide ribosomal RNA is filed under the name uncultured bacterium. Its description in RNAcentral is "partial 16S ribosomal RNA". It matches the Rfam family "Bacterial small subunit ribosomal RNA", at positions 28 to 507 of the family's 1533-position model. The record is from RNAcentral.